UACAUUGGUACUGUAAGCUCGCUAAUAUUUGUUGGAUGGAUUUACGUUGGUAGCAUUUAUUACCCUCCCAUCAGUGAAAGACCUCCAGUAUCAAUUGAUGGUUGCGAUGUUGGAAAUGUAUUCAAUGGUACAAAUGGGUUGAGAAACAAAAUUUCUCCUUUCAAAAUAUGACCGUAUCUUACAGAAACCCUUUGGCGAAGUUUUACGGGCUGUCCUUUUUCUACUACGGUGCUGUCGGCUUGUUUGUGACGAUAAUAAUUGGCUACGUGUUCAGUGUUAUCUUAGCAAUCUGGGAUGAAGAACAAGUUAUCAUGGAUGAUGAUCUUUUGUUUGAGUUCCACAAUCUAUUUAAAAGGAAAACGGAGAAAAUGAUACCACGUGAAUAUGAAGAAAGCCUCGUAAAAACAAGCCGUCUUUAAGUAUGAUUGCAUUUCAAGCACUCAUUUAAUGUUUAAAACAGAAUGUAAAAUUCCUUAAUGGAUGGUUGCAUCAGUGCUAUAUGCAGCUAAGAAUUGAUCUUAAUGCCGGGCUGCAUUAGUCUAGAAUAUCAAGGAUUGUUUGUAAUGCUUUCAGAAUUUAUGGUAACACAAUAGUUUUGUUUUAAGAAGUAAAAGGUAAGAAAUUCUUUCUCUUGGAAAGAUAUUAGAUUUUUUUUUAUUUCUCACUUUUGUAUCUCUAUAUAUUUCUCGGGUAGUUUGCCAAGCAUAUGUUUUUGUAUUAUGUUGAUUAAUUGCUUAUUUUGCAGCUGUCUUAGCUAUUUUUAGUAUGAUAAUUUGUAAUUCUGUAAUUGUUCCUUAUGAUUUAUAGUGGUUAUAAAUUAACUGUAGUGGUCGACGUCUCAUAUGCUGUUUUAUGGUCGUUAUAUAAAUAGCCAUAGAAAUCACUUAUGAAAUGCAUUCACGUAUAUUUCAAAUAUUAAAAGUACUAAAAACAA
Long non-coding RNA from Xenia sp. Carnegie-2017, 934 nucleotides. RefSeq lists it as uncharacterized. Lineage: Eukaryota; Metazoa; Cnidaria; Anthozoa; Malacalcyonacea; Xeniidae. The transcript is spliced from 3 exons. The record is from RefSeq and is a predicted model, not a curated record.